This 690-nucleotide long non-coding RNA is filed under the name Homo sapiens (human). RNAcentral describes it as "non-protein coding lnc-S100A12-1:1". Lineage: Eukaryota; Metazoa; Chordata; Mammalia; Primates; Hominidae. The record is from RNAcentral.
CCCUGGUCGCACCCUGGAUGCGGUUCUACUCCAACAGCUGCUGCCUGUGCCUCCAUGUCCGCACCAGCACCAUCCUGUUAGGUGUCUGGUACCUGAUCAUCAACGCCGUGGUACUCCUGAUUUUGUUGAGUGCCCUGGCUGAUCCGGAUCAGUAUCACUUUUCAAGUUCUGAACUGGGAGGUGAUUUUGAGUUCAUGGAUGACGCCAAUACGUGCAUUGCCAUUGCGAUUUCUCUUCUCAUGAUACUGAUAUCAUGAGAAUUAAGGCUAAUUACGUAAUUAAGGCUAAUUACGAAGCAUACAGGCAACACGCAUUCUGGAUCAUCCCAUUCUUCUGUUACCAGUUACCAGAUCUUUGAUUUUGCUCUGAACACCUUGGUUGCAAUCACUGUGCUUGUUUAUCCAAACUCCAUUCAGGAAUACAUACGACAACUGCCUCCUAAUUUUCCCUACAGAGAUGAUGUCAUGUCAGUGAAUCCACCUGUUUGGUCCUUAUUAUUCUUCUGUUUAUUAGCAUUAUCUUAACUUUUAAGGGUUACUUGAUUAGCUGUGUUUGGAACUGCUGCAGAUAGAUGAACGGCAGGAACUCCUCCGAUGUCCUGGUUUAUGUUACCAGCAAUGACACUAAGGUGCUCCUACCCCGGUAUGAUGAUACCACUGUGAAUGGUGCUGCCAAGGAGCCGCCGCCACC